UCGUUCUCAUUGGGGAGUCUGAUACCAGACUGAGAUUGCUUUUUGCGGGACCCACUGAACCUGAACCAGGUCAUGCUGGCGUAGGAAUUGAGAUAAUCUGACCA
RNAcentral lists this non-coding RNA (104 nucleotides) under Photobacterium sp. RNAcentral describes it as "TPP sequence". It matches the Rfam family "TPP riboswitch aptamer (THI element)". From Rfam's summary of the family: Vitamin B(1) in its active form thiamin pyrophosphate (TPP) is an essential coenzyme that is synthesised by coupling of pyrimidine and thiazole moieties in bacteria. The previously detected thiamin-regulatory element, thi box was extended, resulting in a new, highly conserved RNA secondary structure, the THI element, which is widely distributed in eubacteria and also occurs in some archaea. RNAcentral also lists the same sequence under 1 other name. Lineage: Bacteria; Pseudomonadati; Pseudomonadota; Gammaproteobacteria; Vibrionales; Vibrionaceae. The record is from RNAcentral.